This 1347-nucleotide ribosomal RNA is filed under the name Vibrio parahaemolyticus. RNAcentral describes it as "bacterial SSU rRNA". It matches the Rfam family "Bacterial small subunit ribosomal RNA", at positions 87 to 1430 of the family's 1533-position model. The record is from RNAcentral. Lineage: Bacteria; Pseudomonadati; Pseudomonadota; Gammaproteobacteria; Vibrionales; Vibrionaceae.
GGCGUCGAGCGGCGGACGGGUGAGUAAUGCCUAGGAAAUUGCCCUGAUGUGGGGGAUAACCAUUGGAAACGAUGGCUAAUACCGCAUGAUGCCUACGGGCCAAAGAGGGGGACCUUCGGGCCUCUCGCGUCAGGAUAUGCCUAGGUGGGAUUAGCUAGUUGGUGAGGUAAGGGCUCACCAAGGCGACGAUCCCUAGCUGGUCUGAGAGGAUGAUCAGCCACACUGGAACUGAGACACGGUCCAGACUCCUACGGGAGGCAGCAGUGGGGAAUAUUGCACAAUGGGCGCAAGCCUGAUGCAGCCAUGCCGCGUGUGUGAAGAAGGCCUUCGGGUUGUAAAGCACUUUCAGUCGUGAGGAAGGUAGUGUAGUUAAUAGCUGCAUUAUUUGACGUUAGCGACAGAAGAAGCACCGGCUAACUCCGUGCCAGCAGCCGCGGUAAUACGGAGGGUGCGAGCGUUAAUCGGAAUUACUGGGCGUAAAGCGCAUGCAGGUGGUUUGUUAAGUCAGAUGUGAAAGCCCGGGGCUCAACCUCGGAAUUGCAUUUGAAACUGGCAGACUAGAGUACUGUAGAGGGGGGUAGAAUUUCAGGUGUAGCGGUGAAAUGCGUAGAGAUCUGAAGGAAUACCGGUGGCGAAGGCGGCCCCCUGGACAGAUACUGACACUCAGAUGCGAAAGCGUGGGGAGCAAACAGGAUUAGAUACCCUGGUAGUCCACGCCGUAAACGAUGUCUACUUGGAGGUUGUGGCCUUGAGCCGUGGCUUUCGGAGCUAACGCGUUAAGUAGACCGCCUGGGGAGUACGGUCGCAAGAUUAAAACUCAAAUGAAUUGACGGGGGCCCGCACAAGCGGUGGAGCAUGUGGUUUAAUUCGAUGCAACGCGAAGAACCUUACCUACUCUUGACAUCCAGAGAACUUUCCAGAGAUGGAUUGGUGCCUUCGGGAACUCUGAGACAGGUGCUGCAUGGCUGUCGUCAGCUCGUGUUGUGAAAUGUUGGGUUAAGUCCCGCAACGAGCGCAACCCUUAUCCUUGUUUGCCAGCGAGUAAUGUCGGGAACUCCAGGGAGACUGCCGGUGAUAAACCGGAGGAAGGUGGGGACGACGUCAAGUCAUCAUGGCCCUUACGAGUAGGGCUACACACGUGCUACAAUGGCGCAUACAGAGGGCAGCCAACUUGCGAAAGUGAGCGAAUCCCAAAAAGUGCGUCGUAGUCCGGAUUGGAGUCUGCAACUCGACUCCAUGAAGUCGGAAUCGCUAGUAAUCGUGGAUCAGAAUGCCACGGUGAAUACGUUCCCGGGCCUUGUACACACCGCCCGUCACACCAUGGGAGUGGGCUGCAAAAGAAGUAGG